This is a long non-coding RNA of Gallus gallus (chicken), 5161 nucleotides long. RefSeq lists it as uncharacterized. The record is from RefSeq and is a predicted model, not a curated record. Lineage: Eukaryota; Metazoa; Chordata; Aves; Galliformes; Phasianidae. The transcript has 2 exons.
GACAGCGCCAGAGCUGUAAAGGCAUCGCUGCAGUUCUGCUCUGACACCCGGACCCAGCACUGCAGAACACUAUCAGAUCCAUUUUACAGCUUACAAGCUGAGGUGCAGUGAGAGGUCUCACAGAGCACAAAGCCACAAAUACCAUCUUCCUACAGGAGCACAGGGAUGCAGGGAGCAGUGAGACGACCGCCAGCUGCCAGAGUGCAGCUCCUUCAGGACAGCACCCAUGGGCUUUCUGCUCACAGGCAUGCAGCCAUGCAUGCAGACCUGUGCCAACACUCCAGUUUGCUCUGUACUGAAUUCUGCACAAGCAAGGUUGUUAACAACCUGGGCUUAGCUUUUAAAUGUUUGCUUUUUAAUCUAGUUGAAGCACCAAGGAGCUACCAUCAUCACGUGCCAUCAUGUAAGUAGUUCCUCUGUAGGACAUCCUAGUUAUCCUAAUUGCUUUAUCCUCACUUUUGCUCUUCCUGCAAAUAAAUGACGCUGCACUGCUAUCAGGGGAACUCCUGGCCUGCCCUCCCAGGCCUGGUGCAGCAGUGGGCUCAGACAUGAGCAAAAGCCUUGGUUUGGUUUUUUUUUUUCCAGAAUAUAAGUACAGGAUUUGAAAUGACUCAAAUAAAAAUUCUUUUCUGAAUGGCUUCAGGGGAAACUGUUCAUAAAAUCCUUCUGUUAUUAGCAAAGACAGUUCAUUAUCAGCACACCGUAAUAAAGGAACACACCUGGGUUAUCACUGUCUGCAGGACACAAACUGCUUUUCCACUCAGUGCUGAAUGCUCCAACCUCUAUAGUGUAGAGACUGACCUUCUGCCAGCAGCAGCACAGCUCUCGGUAGCUCUGGAUCCCCACAUCUGUAGUAGCAAAAGAUGCAGACAGUCACCUAGUGGGAAAUAUGGAACAUUUCUACUUUCUUAUACCCUUGAAACACUGAGGUAUGAUGGAGAAGAGGAACUGAGGACCUCCAAAAAGAAUAUGGUGAAAAGUCCCAUGCUGAGUGGGCUCCAGUAGCUGGGAUGCCAGACUAUUUUUUACCGUUUGAACAUGACUGUAUAUACGCUGAUGCCCGGGUUCCUACCCAGAAGCAGGAGGGCUUUGUCAGAGAGGAAGAGGAAAAUCUUCCUGUGCUGGACCUGAGUUCAGAGCAGGAGAGCGCGUACGGAGACAUGAAUCAGAUCACAGAAUGGCCUGGGUCGAAAAGGACCGUCAUGAUCACCUGGUCUCAACCCCCUGCCGUGUGCAGGGUCGCCAGUCAUGGUGAGGAAUCCUGCCCAGGGAGCCGGGGAGGGCGAGAGGAAGGGAAAGGAGGAACUCUGCUUAUGCGAACACUUCGCAGGUGCUCUUCGUUCCAUUGUCACAGCUGAUCCCUUCAGCAUAAUCUGAAGCACCGAGUGAAAGAGAUCGCAAUCUGCACUAUGAAACCUGCCGUUCUCCCCGGCUCAACCCACGGACACGUUUACACUUUCUCCACUUUUUCCCCAGCUGAGCACACUACACAUGAUGGGGCUCUCAGCUGCAGCCGCUGCUUACAGUGCUGCAUGAAACCAACACGGCCUUUGUAAAUAAAGCCAUGCAAAUACACACAGGCGCAUACUAACAAAAUGAAACACGACAUUUGCAGAAGUGCAUGCAGAUAUUUACCAAGUUGUGCGUUUUACUUCUGUGUUUCUGUAACUCAGACAAGAAGGAACAGCGUAGGUUUAAUAUUUUUAUACUUAUGACUGUAAUUCAAAUACUUGGAAGACAUAUAUCGUACAACAUCUCACCAGGGACGUGUUGUACUGUACUAGGAAGAGCAAGGAAGCAUUUUUAUCCAUAGAAAUGCCAUUUGAGUGCUGCCUCACCAAAAUGCUUUGUACUUUCCUGGUGAAGAGCAGUCUUAGAUAACCGGUUUAAUGUUUAAAGUUAAUGUCAAGAUGCUGCUGGUGUCUGUCCAGAUGAGGGAUCUAACAGAUCUGUCUUCACAUUAAGAACACACAGAAAAUCUUGUAGUGUAAGCUAGAACAAAAAGCCUUUAAUUGCUUUACAAUAGACUUGAAAGUGUAUACCACAUCAGUGGAUGGAAAAAAAGUAUCACUGAGGGUGCGACGACAGCUCUGUACCUAUUUUUGUUCCAACAUACACUUCUGUCUAAUAGGGCACAUUUCUCGGAUCUUACUUUUUCCUUCCACCUUCACCUUCUGCAACUUUCUUUGCAGAGCACAGUGGGAACUGAAAAGGAAAUCAGAUAUUCCACACAGUCUGAAUGGAAGAAUUUUGCUGUGGUGCACUUUUCGAUUGGGCUUCUACAGUUAACCUUCAGAAAUCUCUCACUUCCUCCUCACUUCUUAUUCCUUAAUAACAUUUUCACUAUGAGCACCUUUAUAUUGAAUUGCUGUAGUCAAAACAGAACCAAAAAGAUUUUAACACAGGCUCAAAACAACGAUUCCUCCUCCUCCGUCUCCAUCUCAGGCAGUGGCGAUAUGCCCACAGAUUACUCAAAGGUAAUGUUCAGGGGUGCAACAAUGUAUUAGGGGGAGAAAAGGAGCUUUUGCCUUCUCUUGCCUUUAGAAGGAUCAGAUGUGCUAGAUUCAAUUCACUGUGAAAUGUUUUACAAUGAUUACGUGCACUGCAGACCUCAGUAACUUUCUCCAAAGUACUUCCUGAACAUCACAGCACUCUUCUAGCUGCGGUUUGCUUGCCUGACAACUUCUAUCUGCUUUUUGCUCUUUUCCUCCACGUUGUGUUUCUGUUUUUGUUUCCCCCUGAAAUGUAGCCCAAUAAACACAGAUAAAAGGAAUGAAUCAAGCCAUUUAACUUCAGAGAUUCAUCAAAUAAUGAGAGGUAAACCUGCCACGAUUUGAGCCCCUUGGCCAGCUGAGCACUGAGCUCACGGCCUCAGCUGUUGUACUGCUUGAGGAAGUGCAGACUUCAGAGGUCUGGCAGAAAAUAAUACACAGACCCAGGUGGGUUUUUUUUUAACCAGUGGUAUAAAGGAAGUGGUUUUGUUGCUAGCAGGUAUCUUGUUUGGGGUAUUAAAAUAAUGAAAGUUCAUUGCCACAGAUAAACUGUGACUGCACCCCUUCCAACCUGACCUCAAGCUUGAGUGACUGAAGGAGAACAUUUACAACAGCCUUCCCUCAUCCUCCAACAAAUCGAAUUCACACCCCUUAUACUGCUAGAAGAAAUCUCACUUCUAUAUAGAUAGAUAUAAGGGAAGAAGAAAAGCAAAAACAAACUCAAAAUCUUUGAGAGAGAGUGCUUCUAUGUCCGUGGUUCUCUGUGCACGAAAAUAGAAAUCUGGCCCAAACUUCAGUCACUGCUUGUUCUUUUUUCCCAGCAAAUGCUGUUACCCACCCACAACAGCCACAUUGCCAACAAGAAUAGCCAGGAAAGGGCAACCAGAAGCAACUUUGCCUGCAGAGAUGGGAAAUACCACCAAACCGGGGCAGUGUGUGAGGACAGGCUUUCACUAGAAAGGAGUAGGAAUGAUAAGCAGUACAUUUUAAAGCACCAUAGGGAAACGCACAAAGACCAGCACAGGUGUUGAUCAGCUGAAUAGCUGAGCUCAGCCACCACUGAGCCACUGCUGGAGCCCACUGGCUGCGUGCACACAGCCCUCUGCAGGCGGUGCUCCCUGGUUGCUGCGGUGUGGGGAACACCACAGGCGUGCGGUGUAACCCAGUAACCUCAUAAGGACAUUUUCCCUCCAACCCCAAACGCUCACUUUGCCCGAUUAAAAUGGGUAAGAACUAAUUCAUGUUGGUUGUGACCAACAGAAUAGCCUGGUACGCUUCAAAACCCUGUUUGCACGUGAUUUAAAUCCAGUAUCUUCUGAUCUAAGAGAUAAGCUGUCUCCACACUGUCUGCCGACCACUGCCUUCACAAGGCCUUUUCCCUGUUAACUUCUUUUCGCUUUCCUGGGCUACACUGGACGCGAGUUUCACAUUUGCCAUGUAGGUUUGCACACAGCUCUGCUAUAGGGUCGGUCGUACAGCACAGGAGAUAAUGUUUCAGCAAUUUAAGCCAUAACAGCUGCUGCGAAGAGCUGCCAUUGGCCAACCACAGCGCCGCUUUGAAGUUGCCAUGUCACAAUAAAACUGCAGCUUCUCACAAAUGCAACGUUUGGGAUUGUUGCCACAGAACUGGAGGACCUUUUAGAGAUCACUGAUGGGAGAAAAAAAAAAAAAAACACUACUAAAACGCAUUCAGUGUUUUUCUGUUAACUUCGCCCCGAAACCUGCAGCAAAACGAAUCAAAACUUUGUUCUCCUUAAUGACAGUGUGGAGCACAAAGAAAGAGAUUGGGGUUUGCCCUGACUUCCUUUUGUGCUUGUUUAUAUCGUUGGAGCAGAAAGAAUCUCAGCGCUUGGCAGCCCACUUCCUGAAGUCAGAAACAAAUAACCUACAUUUACUGCAAAUGGUAUCGAGACGGCAGAGCUCUGAUAUCACGGAGUCAACGAUCUGGUCAAGUGGGAAAGAUAGAUGGGACACUUCCCCUUCCCAUUUAUAAAUCCCAGCACAAGAGACAAAAAACAAAAACCCGCGGCCUUUUCCUGCCCCAAGCUGACAGUUCUGCUCCUCGAGAGAGAUGCCUCCGCACUAUUUCAGAAAGCAACAAAAAAUCAUUACGUAUAAAGCACUGCAGCCGAGCUGCUCCUCGCUAAGGGGGCAUAUCGGCGUUUUAAAACAUUUACUUGAAAACAUCAUCGGAGCUCAAACUUAAUUGAAAUGCUGAAGCUUUGUUUGCUCCCUCGCUCCAGCACAGCUGAAACAACAAAACCAGUCGGACAGCUUUUCCCCUUCGGUCAGGUAUGCGCUGAACGAGCGAUUUGAGCUCGGGGCCGGGAGCAGCGCUGCACCCACGGCUCAGCCCGGCCCGGACCCUUCCAUCCCUCCCGGCCAUCCCCGGCAGCUCCCGCCGUGACGGUGCGGGCUCGGACGGGUCGUGCCUCUGCUCCGAGGUCAGACAGACCGUGCUGCGAAAACACAACCGGUGCAGCCUAUUGCAGAGCUCGAAAAGGUUUACAGAGCAGCGUUUAAGCUUUCUGCCUCAGCGAUGUGUGCGUACAAAGGGACCGCGUUCUGUUCUCGCAUUAAAGCUCCCCUUUCACAUAAACGAGGGCUGCUCGUUAUAUUCCCCUCCCCGUUGUUUGUUCUCUGGAUAAAUUAAAUUUCUGAAAUUCCAA